RNAcentral lists this ribosomal RNA (331 nucleotides) under uncultured eukaryote. RNAcentral describes it as "partial 18S ribosomal RNA". It matches the Rfam family "Eukaryotic small subunit ribosomal RNA", at positions 1470 to 1796 of the family's 1831-position model. The record is from RNAcentral.
CCCUUAGAUGUCCGGGGCUGCACGCGCGCUACACUGUAGAAAGCAGCGUGCUUUAAAACCUUUCCUGAAAAGGAUGGGUAACCCCAGCAAAAUUCUACGUGCUUGGGAUAGAGAUUUGCAAUUUUCUCUCUUGAACGAGGAAUUCCCAGUAAGUGCGAGUCAUCAGCUCGCGUUGAUUACGUCCCUGCCCUUUGUACACACCGCCCGUCGCUCCUACCGAUUGAGCGGUCCGGUGAAGACUCAGGAGAUGGGCGCGUGCUUGGUUCGCCAACUGCGCUGCCUGCCAAAUUUGUCUAAACCUUAUCGCUUAGAGGAAGGAGAAGUCGUAACA